GACGAACGCUGGCGGCGUGCCUAAUACAUGCAAGUAGAACGCUGAAGGGAGAGCUUGCUCUUCUGGAUGAGUUGCGAACGGGUGAGUAACGCGUAGGUAACCUGCCUGGUAGCGGGGGAUAACUAUUGGAAACGAUAGCUAAUACCGCAUAACAUUGACUAUUGCAUGAUAGUCAAUUGAAAGGUGCAAUUGCACCACUACCAGAUGGACCUGCGUUGUAUUAGCUAGUUGGUGGGGUAACGGCUCACCAAGGCGACGAUACAUAGCCGACCUGAGAGGGUGAUCGGCCACACUGGGACUGAGACACGGCCCAGACUCCUACGGGAGGCAGCAGUAGGGAAUCUUCGGCAAUGGACGGAAGUCUGACCGAGCAACGCCGCGUGAGUGAAGAAGGUUUUCGGAUCGUAAAGCUCUGUUGUAAGAGAAGAACGAGUGUGAGAGUGGAAAGUUCACACUGUGACG
Molecule: ribosomal RNA, 462 nt
Filed under: Streptococcus cristatus
Lineage: Bacteria; Bacillati; Bacillota; Bacilli; Lactobacillales; Streptococcaceae
Description: bacterial SSU rRNA
Rfam family: Bacterial small subunit ribosomal RNA
Source: RNAcentral